Molecule: long non-coding RNA, 463 nt
Organism: Seriola aureovittata
Lineage: Eukaryota; Metazoa; Chordata; Actinopteri; Carangiformes; Carangidae
Exons: 4
Source: RefSeq, a predicted model, not a curated record
GCGCGUGUCCUCUGGCGACUCUCUGCUCCGUGUAGUAGCGCGGACGGAGGUAGGAAGAAACGGAGCUCUGUUGAUAUCAUCCACUACUACUCCGACCAAAAGGCACGGCUGAGGGAGAACAAUAAACAAAGUCAGAGACACAGAUCUAGCCUGACAAGGAUCACCGGGACACACAAAGUACAAGAGUCCUUCUUGUGACAGCAGAUUUGAGGACAGGCUCUGAGUCACAGGACAGCUGUUCUCCUCCCUCUCUAGAUCCAGGUCCAUUCCGGGUGUUGACAGAUGAAAUGGUCUCAUUGUUGGCUCCAGCAGUCGAACCAUCCCACAGUUUCUAUGUAUUAUCCUGCUUCUCUUCUCCAUUAAAUGCAAACCAGCUUUUCGAGCAUGUGGACACUGAUGCUGCGCUGCCAAAACAUUAUAGCACAAAUCUGCCCCCCCACUCCACCCACCUCCCCUAGCACCA